UUCUGCCUACGGGGGGCAGCAGUAGGGAAUUUUCGUCAAUGGGCGCAAGCCUGAACGAGCAAUGCCGCGUGAACGAGGAAGGUCUUCGGAUCGUAAAGUUCUGUUGACGGGGAAAAAAGACCGGGAAAGGAAAUGAUCUCGGAGGAGAUAUUACCCGUCGAGGAAGUCACGGCUAACUACGUGUCAGCAGCCGCGGUAAUAAGUAGGUGGCGAGCGUUAUCCGGAAUGAUUGGGCGUAAAGGGUGUGUAGGCGGUCGCUUAAGUCUGGAGUGAAAGGUAAC
This 281-nucleotide ribosomal RNA is filed under the name uncultured bacterium. Its description in RNAcentral is "partial 16S ribosomal RNA". It matches the Rfam family "Bacterial small subunit ribosomal RNA", at positions 333 to 605 of the family's 1533-position model. The record is from RNAcentral.